UACGAAGGGUGCAAGCGUUAAUCGGAAUUACUGGGCGUAAAGCGUGCGUAGGUGGUUGUUCAAGUCUGUCGUGAAAGCCCUGGGCUCAACCUGGGAAUGGCGAUGGAAACUGGGCGACUGGAGUGCGGUAGAGGAUGGCGGAAUUCCCGGUGUAGCGGUGAAAUGCGUAGAGAUCGGGAGGAACAUCCGUGGCGAAGGCGGCCAUCUGGACCAGCACUGACACUGAGGCACGAAAGCGUGGGGAGCAAACAGG
This 253-nucleotide ribosomal RNA is filed under the name bacterium. RNAcentral describes it as "partial 16S ribosomal RNA". It matches the Rfam family "Bacterial small subunit ribosomal RNA", at positions 524 to 776 of the family's 1533-position model. The record is from RNAcentral. RNAcentral also lists the same sequence under 1 other name.